CUACGGGUGGCAGCAGUGAGGAAUAUUGCACAAUGGAGGAAACUCUGAUGCAGCAACGCCGCGUGGAGGAUGACGCAUUUCGGUGUGUAAACUCCUUUUAUAUGUCAAGAAAAUGACGGUAGCAUAUGAAUAAGCUCCGGCUAACUCCGUACCAGCAGCCGCGGUAAUACGGAGGGAGCAAGCGUUACUCGGAAUCACUGGGCGUAAAGGACGCGUAGGCGGGAUAGAAAGUCAGGUGUGAAAUCCUAUGGCUCAACCAUAGAACUGCACUUGAAACUUCUAAACUAGAGUAUGGGAGGGGAAGAUGGAAUUAGUGGUGUAGGGGUAAAAUCCGUAGAUAUCACUAGGAAUACCAAAAGCGAAGGCGAUCUUCUGGAACAAUACUGACGCUAAGGCGUGAAAGCGUGGGGAGCAAACAGGAUUAGAUACCCCGGUAGUC
Molecule: ribosomal RNA, 439 nt
Filed under: uncultured bacterium
Lineage: Bacteria
Description: partial 16S ribosomal RNA
Rfam family: Bacterial small subunit ribosomal RNA
Source: RNAcentral